UUCAUGAUAAUUCAGUUGGUAGAACAUAAGACUUUUAAUCUCAGAGUCGUGUAUUCAAUCAAGCCCCACAUUCAGUGAAA
Non-coding RNA from Podarcis lilfordi (Lilford's wall lizard), 80 nucleotides. The record is from the annotation of a GenBank genome assembly. NCBI's taxonomy places the organism in Eukaryota, Metazoa, Chordata, Lepidosauria, Squamata, Lacertidae.